This 305-nucleotide ribosomal RNA is filed under the name uncultured bacterium. RNAcentral describes it as "partial 16S ribosomal RNA". It matches the Rfam family "Bacterial small subunit ribosomal RNA", at positions 508 to 807 of the family's 1533-position model. The record is from RNAcentral.
ACAGCAGUCGCCGCGGGAAUACGGAGGGUGCAAGCGUUAAUCGGAAUUACUGGGCGUAAAGCGCACGCAGGCGGUCUGACAAGUCAGAUGUGAAAUCCCCGGGCUUAACCUGGGAACUGCAUUUGAAACUGUCAGGCUGGAGUCUUGUAGAGGGGGGUAGAAUUCCAGGUGUAGCGGUGAAAUGCGUAGAGAUCUGGAGGAAUACCGGUGGCGAAGGCGGCCCCCUGGACAAAGACUGACGCUCAGGUGCGAAAGCGUGGGGAGCAAACAGGAUUAGAUACCCCAGUAGUCCCUGUCUCUUAUAC